GAUGAACGCUAGCGGCAGGCCUAAUACAUGCAAGUCGAGGGGUAACAUGGUAGCAAUACUGAUGACGACCGGCAAACGGGUGCGGAACACGUACAGAACCUUCCUUUAAGCGGGGGAUAGCCCGGAGAAUCCGGAUUAAUACCCAUAAGAUUAUAUAGUGGCAUCACUUAGUAUAAUUAAAGAUUUAUCACUUAAAGAUGGCUGUGCGCCUGAUUAGGUAGUUGGUGCGGGAAUGGCCCACCAAGCCAACGAUCAGUAACUGGUGUGAGAGCACGACCAGUCACACGGGCACUGAGACACGGGCCCGACUCCUACGGGAGGCAGCAGUAAGGAAUAUUGGUCAAUGGACGCAAGUCUGAACCAGCCAUGCCGCGUGAAGGAUGAAGGUCCUCUGGAUUGUAAACUUCUUUUGAAUGGGACGAAACCCUUUUAUUCGUAAGAGAUUGACGGUACCAUUAGAAUAAGCACCGGCUAACUCCGUGCCAGCCGCCG
RNAcentral lists this ribosomal RNA (492 nucleotides) under uncultured bacterium. RNAcentral describes it as "bacterial SSU rRNA". It matches the Rfam family "Bacterial small subunit ribosomal RNA", at positions 28 to 517 of the family's 1533-position model. The record is from RNAcentral.